This 253-nucleotide ribosomal RNA is filed under the name uncultured bacterium. Its description in RNAcentral is "partial 16S ribosomal RNA". It matches the Rfam family "Bacterial small subunit ribosomal RNA", at positions 524 to 776 of the family's 1533-position model. The record is from RNAcentral.
UACGGAGGGUGCGAGCGUUGUCCGGAUUUAUUGGGCGUAAAGAGCUCGUAGGCGGUCUGUCGCGUCUGCUGUGAAAGCCCGGGGCUUAACCCCGGGUGUGCAGUGGGUACGGGCAGACUAGAGUGCAGUAGGGGAGACUGGAAUUCCUGGUGUAGCGGUGGAAUGCGCAGAUAUCAGGAGGAACACCGAUGGCGAAGGCAGGUCUCUGGGCUGUUACUGACGCUGAGGAGCGAAAGCAUGGGGAGCGAACAGG